AACAAAAACAAUUUGAAGGGCAUUAAGGUUUAGUGUAGUCUGCAGAUUCAUGAAAGCUUUGAAAAUUAAGUAUCUCACUCUAUUACUUACUAAUGACAUCCUGAUUCAGAAUUUUCCGUUUAUACUCCCUCAUUUUCCGUCUUUUGCACUCCCCUCUCCUAUAAGAGUCAAGCAGUGGUGGCACACCUGUCAUUUUUUUCCUGCAUUGAAUAAAAUAUAAUGACACUCCCCAGGUGGAAUCCACCGUUUCUGUGACUUACUCUCUUUAGCACCUCUGCACCAUACCAAGCAUUAGGAUCACGGUGAACUUCCCAGACCCAGUGGUGUCCACGAUGCAUGUCCCUAUUCUCUAAGGAGUCUCUAUUCCAUUCCUUAACCAAUUACCUACCCUGCGAGAGAGCAGUCUUCCACCCUGAAUGCUGAGAGAAGAGUGCUGGCAG
Molecule: non-coding RNA, 440 nt
Organism: Ceratotherium simum simum (southern white rhinoceros)
Lineage: Eukaryota; Metazoa; Chordata; Mammalia; Perissodactyla; Rhinocerotidae
Source: RefSeq, a predicted model, not a curated record